AGGAGCGUAGUGAUAGGAAACUAUCACGCUACGUUUUGGAGAGCAGUGGAAGGGGCGACCCUUUCACUGACUUUAC
This 76-nucleotide non-coding RNA is filed under the name Hyella patelloides LEGE 07179. Lineage: Bacteria; Bacillati; Cyanobacteriota; Cyanophyceae; Pleurocapsales; Pleurocapsaceae. The record is from RNAcentral.